Molecule: transfer RNA, 88 nt
Rfam family: tRNA
About the family: Transfer RNA (tRNA) molecules are approximately 80 nucleotides in length. Their secondary structure includes four short double-helical elements and three loops (D, anti-codon, and T loops). Further hydrogen bonds mediate the characteristic L-shaped molecular structure. tRNAs have two regions of fundamental functional importance: the anti-codon, which is responsible for specific mRNA codon recognition, and the 3' end, to which the tRNAs corresponding amino acid is attached (by aminoacyl-tRNA synthetases). tRNAs cope with the degeneracy of the genetic code in two manners: having more than one tRNA (with a specific anti-codon) for a particular amino acid; and 'wobble' base-pairing, i.e. permitting non-standard base-pairing at the 3rd anti-codon position.
Source: Rfam
GGUCGAAUAGCUAAGUGGUUUAAGGCAGUGGUUUGCUAAACCAUCAGUUAUUAUUGAUAACUCGUGGGUUCGAAUCCCACUUCGACCU